UGCACUCCAGCCUAGGUGACAGAGUAAGACCCUGCCUCAAAAAAUUAAUUAAUUAAUUAAAUAAAAUAAGAAAUCUAUUCUGGAAAUCAGUCAUCAAACACCACAAUUUUGGGAAUAUAGUUUGGACGACCACUUCCUUUUCUGGAAACCAUUUUUAGAAUAAGAAAAUGAGCCAGAAUACACCUUGCCAAAUAAGUUUCCCCAAAUCACAAUUAUGAUUUGGGGAAUGAACACAAGAAUGAACAAAUUAAGUCAUAAAUGUAUGCAAUCAUUUUUGAAUGUCUUUGCAGAGAAAUAUUCAAAGUGGUAAGAUGGAUUGAACUGCCAACCAAAAUUGUCAAUCUUUAUUUCAGUCUUCACUAUUAAGCUAAAAAGGUAAUUUUUCUCUUGAAUGAUGUGAAGAAUUGAAUUUCUUUCAACUGUUCCAAAAAUCUAUUCCUGCCUGCCACCCUGUGGGGCAGGCAAGAUGAUAUUAUACAUCUCUUAUAAAACAAAGAUACAGACUCAGAAUGGCUAAUAGGAUAUUGCUGAGGCCUGCCAGGUAUCUUUUGGUGAAUAGAUACUCUUUAUCUUAAGGUAUCUUUUGGUGAAUAGAUACUCUUUAUCUUAAGAUUUGUUGUGGUUAUUCUUGGUCUGCUGCCCAUCUAUAAAAAAUUUAGAAUCCAUCGGUAAAGUUGCACAACAAAUUCUGUUAGGAUUUUGUUGGAAUUACACUGAACCUACAGAUCGGUUUGGGAAUAACUGACAUCUUUACAAUACUGAGUCUUCCCAUCCAAGGAAACAGUAUAUUAUAUUCCAUCUAAUUAUGUCAUUUGGAAUUGUCUUCCAAUAAAUUUUUAUGGCUUUUCUGCA
This 852-nucleotide long non-coding RNA is filed under the name Homo sapiens (human). Its description in RNAcentral is "HSALNT0342055". Lineage: Eukaryota; Metazoa; Chordata; Mammalia; Primates; Hominidae. The record is from RNAcentral.